This 73-nucleotide transfer RNA is filed under the name Rhipicephalus microplus (southern cattle tick). RNAcentral describes it as "tRNA-Tyr". It matches the Rfam family "tRNA". From Rfam's summary of the family: Transfer RNA (tRNA) molecules are approximately 80 nucleotides in length. Their secondary structure includes four short double-helical elements and three loops (D, anti-codon, and T loops). The record is from RNAcentral. Lineage: Eukaryota; Metazoa; Arthropoda; Arachnida; Ixodida; Ixodidae.
CCGUCGAUAGCUCAGUUGGUAGAGCGGUGGACUGUAGAUCCAUAGGUCGCUGGCUCGAAUCCGGCUCGACGGA